GAUGAACGCUGGCGGCGUGCCUAAUACAUGCAAGUCGAGCGAACAGAUGAGGAGCUUGCUCCUCUGACGUUAGCGGCGGACGGGUGAGUAACACGUGGAUAACCUACCUAUAAGACUGGGAUAACUUCGGGAAACCGGAGCUAAUACCGGAUAAUAUAUUGAACCGCAUGGUUCAAUAGUGAAAGACGGUUUUGCUGUCACUUAUAGAUGGAUCCGCGCCGCAUUAGCUAGUUGGUAAGGUAACGGCUUACCAAGGCAACGAUGCGUAGCCGACGUGAGAGGGUGCGAGCCCACACGGGAAGGGGGACAGGGCCCGCACCCCUACGGGAGGCAGAAGUGGGAUAUGUCCGGAAAUGGGGGAAAGCCUGACGGAGCAACCCCGCGUGAGAGAGAAAGGUCUUGGGAUCGAAACACUUUUUUUUGGGGGAAAAACAAAUGUGUAAGAAACUAUGCCCUUCUUGACGUUACUUAAUAAAAAAGCCACGGCUAACUACGUC
Molecule: ribosomal RNA, 497 nt
Filed under: uncultured bacterium
Lineage: Bacteria
Description: partial 16S ribosomal RNA
Rfam family: Bacterial small subunit ribosomal RNA
Source: RNAcentral